ACAAGCAGGCAAAGCCGAGGCAAGGCCGCACGUCUCAGCCUUCAGAGGAGGAGGGACAGGAAGGCCUCCUGAACGCACCCCUGGGUAGGAAGGAGAGGUUGGGCCUAAGGGAGAUGGAAUGGCGGACGCUGGGAGAAGGGAGAGAGACCCUACUGGCCGGGAUGUUAGUGAAGAAAGAACCGCACGAGUAAAGUGGGGGAAGAACUGGAGAGAUGGAGGAUGGGGGGUGGUGAGAUCCAGCCUUGGGCGAAAUCCGGCCUCCUUCAUAUCUCUGCCGUUGUGUGAGCCAAAUUGAUCAGACCCUGGUCUCCAUAACUCCUUUUCGCGUUUGGUCAGCAAAUAUGUUUCUCCCAUUUCUAUUGGCCCUUAAGAGAAAUGACCAAAAGAACUGGGGACAGACGGUUUCUGGAAGCUGCCCCUGGGCGGAGUGCUGGCCACAGAUGUGGAGAAUAGCGAGGCUGGAAUGGGGCAACUUGUGCGGGGGCAGGCGGGUGGGCGUAGAGGAGGAACCAACAGGGAGGUCUUCCAGAAGGGGGGCUUCAGGCCCAGGGCACACAGUCAGUCCCCCUGGCGAGGGGCGAGCAGGGCCCCCCACGUCCCGCUCGCCCACAGAGGCACUUUCCACUGGUAGGAACAGCGUCUUUAAUGGGCCCCGCCCCCCACGCCCGCCAAACCGCCCCCCUUGCGGGCCACUUUGGCCUCCUCCACCGCGGCACGGAGGGCCCGGGCCGGGUCCCCGCGGAGCCGGGCCAAUUCUCCGAGCAGCGCAGCGGAGUCGUCCCCCGUACGGAGCUGUCGGCCGUUCAGAAAAUAGUGAGGCAACGUCCCGGCCUCGAGCACUCGGCCGAGCUCGUCUAGCAGCCCGAGGCAGCAGGCGCCCGCAUUUUCUGGCCGCGCCAGGCGGAG
Molecule: long non-coding RNA, 906 nt
Filed under: Homo sapiens (human)
Lineage: Eukaryota; Metazoa; Chordata; Mammalia; Primates; Hominidae
Description: HSALNT0388307
Source: RNAcentral